Molecule: ribosomal RNA, 495 nt
Filed under: uncultured bacterium
Lineage: Bacteria
Description: partial 16S ribosomal RNA
Rfam family: Bacterial small subunit ribosomal RNA
Source: RNAcentral
GAUGAACGCUGGCGGCGUGCCUAAUACAUGCAAGUCGAGCGAACAGACGAGGAGCUUGCUCCUCUGACGUUAGCGGCGGACGGGUGAGUAACACGUGGAUAACCUACCUAUAAGACUGGGAUAACUUCGGGAAACCGGAGCUAAUACCGGAUAAUAUAUUGAACCGCAUGGUUCAAUAGUGAAAGACGGUUUUGCUGUCACUUAUAGAUGGAUCCGCGCCGCAUUAGCUAGUUGGUAAGGUAACGGCUUACCAAGGCAACGAUGCGUAGCCGACCUGAGAGUGUGAUCGGCCACACUGAAACUGAGACACGGUCCAGACUCCUACGGGAGGCAGCAGUAGAAAAUCUUCCGCAAUGGGCGAAAGCCUGACGGAGCAACGCCGCGUGAGUGAUGAAGGUCGUCGGAUCGUAAAACUCUGUUAUUAGGGAAGAACAAAUGUGUAAGUAACUAUGCACGUCUUGACGGUACCUAAUCAGAAAGCCGCGGCUAACUACG